AUUGAACGCUGGCGGCAUGCUUUACACAUGCAAGUCGAACGGCAGCACGGGUGCUUGCACCUGGUGGCGAGUGGCGAACGGGUGAGUAAUGCAUCGGAACGUGCCCAUGAGUGGGGGAUAGCCUGGCGAAAGCCGGAUUAAUACCGCAUACGCCCUUAGGGGGAAAGCGGGGGAUCUUCGGACCUCGCGCUAUUGGAGCGGCCGAUGUCGGAUUAGCUAGUAGGUGAGGUAAAGGCUCACCUAGGCGACGAUCCGUAGCUGGUCUGAGAGGAUGAUCAGCCACACUGGGACUGAGACACGGCCCAGACUCCUACGGGAGGCAGCAGUGGGGAAUUUUGGACAAUGGGCGCAAGCCUGAUCCAGCCAUGCCGCGUGAGUGAAGAAGGCCUCGGUUGUAAGUACGUC
This 405-nucleotide ribosomal RNA is filed under the name uncultured bacterium. RNAcentral describes it as "bacterial SSU rRNA". It matches the Rfam family "Bacterial small subunit ribosomal RNA", at positions 30 to 436 of the family's 1533-position model. The record is from RNAcentral.